AAAAGUGAAAGUUAGUUAAUAAAGUAUUAUGGGUAAGUAAGGUGAGUGAAUAAAAUUUAGAAAAGUUAUAGUACUGUGAAGGAAAAAUGGAGGAUGAGGGAAGAGAGUUAAUUAGGAAUAGUUACCUUUGGUAUAAGGGAUUAUUAAGUGAGGAGAUGAAGAUGUUGGGGUCCCGAAGGAAAAUUGAGCUAUAUUGUAGAUUAGGAUAAUGUAACAUAAUUAUGGAAAAGUAUAAUAUAGGAGUGAGAUGCUAAACGAAAGUUUUGUUAUCUGGUUUUUUAAAAAAUAAUUAGAGAUUAGUAUAUAAAUAUAAAUGGAUUAUGAUGUUAUUUUAGGAGGGAUAAGCUUUUUAAAAGGGUACUAGAUGGAAGAUGGGAUGAGCAAAGAAGGCUUAAGAUUAGUUAGAUUUUGUUAUAAAAAAGUAAAUAAGUAAAAAAAUAGUGUAAAAGGGUUAUUUAGAUAAUAUAGGGAGUUAAGAAUUAUAUGAGAUUAUGAUUAAUAUGAGUAGUUGGGUGAUAAAAAUGUUAGAAGAAAAUGGAAGAAGAGGGUUGGAUUAAGAGUGUUAAUUAAUAUUUAUUAGAAGAAUUAGGCAAAAGUUUUCUCCCGCCUGUUUAUCAAAAACAUGGUUUUUUGAGAAUGAUGAAAAAUCUAACCUGCUCAAUGAUAAUAAAUGGCCGCAGUAUGUUGACUGUGCUAAGGUAGCAUAAUAAUUAGCUUUAUAAUUGAAGGCUGGAAUGAAUGGUUGGACGAGGGGAUAGCUGUUUUUAGUAAAAAAAAAUGAAAUUGGAGUUAAUGUGAAAAUACAUUAUUUUUCUUAAGGGACGAGAAGACCCUGUUGAGUUUUAUAGGUUAUAAUUGUAGGUUAAUUAUGAUUUAUUUUACUGGGGCGGUAUUGAUAGAGAUGAAUCUAUUGAGGAGAUUAGAGGAAGAAUAACUAGGAUCCAUGAAGGAAGCAGACAUGAAAGAUGGAUUAAAUUACUGCAGGGAUAACAGCAUAAUAUUAUCAGAGAGUUCAUAUUGAUGAUAGAUUUUGUGACCUCGAUGUUGAAUUAAGUUUUCUUUUGGGCGUAGGGGCUUAUAGGAGUUAGUCUGUUCGACUAUUAAAAAUUUACAUGAUUUGAGUUCAGAUCGGCGUGAGCCAGAUCGGUUUCUAUCUUUAGGAAAGAAAUAAUCAUAUGAUAGUACGAAAGGACUUCAUAUGAGUUUGUGAU
This 1211-nucleotide ribosomal RNA is filed under the name Phrynus sp. 1 SEM-2008. Its description in RNAcentral is "16S ribosomal RNA". The stretch from base 788 to 1211 matches the Rfam family "Bacterial large subunit ribosomal RNA", at positions 2046 to 2710 of the family's 2925-position model. Lineage: Eukaryota; Metazoa; Arthropoda; Arachnida; Amblypygi; Phrynidae. The record is from RNAcentral.